CUUCUGCUCCUAGCAGCUGGUGAUGUCUCUCCAAACCCCGGUCCCAUCUUAACAAACACACCACGUACGAACUCAAGAAACCACACCAAUCUCAUACCUAUCUCUUGUUACUCUAAAUCCUCCUUCAAUACUGCCCUCUGGAAUGCACACUCUUUGCAAUAUUACAAAAUCCACUGCUGUCCACAACCUCUUCAUCUUUCAUUCCCUAGAUUUACUAGACUUAACAGAAACAUGGCACUCCCCC
Molecule: non-coding RNA, 244 nt
Organism: Pelobates cultripes (western spadefoot toad)
Lineage: Eukaryota; Metazoa; Chordata; Amphibia; Anura; Pelobatidae
Source: the annotation of a GenBank genome assembly